This 361-nucleotide ribosomal RNA is filed under the name Pediococcus claussenii. RNAcentral describes it as "bacterial SSU rRNA". It matches the Rfam family "Bacterial small subunit ribosomal RNA", at positions 444 to 796 of the family's 1533-position model. Lineage: Bacteria; Bacillati; Bacillota; Bacilli; Lactobacillales; Lactobacillaceae. The record is from RNAcentral.
GAAGAACGUGGGUGAGAGUAACUGUUCACCCAGUGACGGUAUUUAACCAGAAAGCCACGGCUAACUACGUGCCAGCAGCCGCGGUAAUACGUAGGUGGCAAGCGUUAUCCGGAUUUAUUGGGCGUAAAGCGAGCGCAGGCGGUCUUUUAAGUCUAAUGUGAAAGCCUUCGGCUCAACCGAAGAAGUGCAUUGGAAACUGGGAGACUUGAGUGCAGAAGAGGACAGUGGAACUCCAUGUGUAGCGGUGAAAUGCGUAGAUAUAUGGAAGAACACCAGUGGCGAAGGCGGCUGUCUGGUCUGUAACUGACGCUGAGGCUCGAAAGCAUGGGUAGCGAACAGGAUUAGAUACCCCGGUAGAUUC